CGAUCACCGAAGUUAAGCUCAGUAGGGCACGGUAAGUACUUGGAUGGGUGACCGCUUCGGAAUACCGUGUGCUGUAGGCA
Nematostella vectensis (starlet sea anemone) is the source of this 80-nucleotide non-coding RNA. Lineage: Eukaryota; Metazoa; Cnidaria; Anthozoa; Actiniaria; Edwardsiidae. The record is from Rfam.